UACGUAGGGUGCAAGCGUUAUUCGGAUUUACUGGGCGUAAAGCGUGCGCAGGCGGCUUUGCAAGUCAGAUGUGAAAUCCCCGGGCUUAACCUGGGAACUGCAUUUGUGACUGCAUGGCUAGAGUGCGGCAGAGGGGGAUGGAAUUCCGCGUGUAGCAGUGAAAUGCGUAGAUAUGCGGAGGAACACCGAUGGCGAAGGCAAUCCCCUGGGCCUGCACUGACGCUCAUGCACGAAAGCGUGGGGAGCAAACAGG
Molecule: ribosomal RNA, 253 nt
Filed under: uncultured bacterium
Lineage: Bacteria
Description: partial 16S ribosomal RNA
Rfam family: Bacterial small subunit ribosomal RNA
Source: RNAcentral